CUACGGGAGGCUCCAGUGAGGAAUAUUGCACAAUGGGGGGAACCCUGAUGCAGCAACGCCGCGUGGAGGAUGACGCAUUUCGGUGUGUAAACUCCUUUUAUAUGUCAAGAAAAUGACGGUAGCAUAUGAAUAAGCACCGGCUAACUCCGUGCCAGCAGCCGCGGUAAUACGGAGGGUGCAAGCGUUACUCGGAAUCACUGGGCGUAAAGGACGCGUAGGCGGGUUGGAAAGUCAGGUGUGAAAUCCUACAGCUUAACUGUAGAACUGCACUUGAAACUUCUAAUCUAGAGUAUGGGAGGGGGAGAUGGAAUUAGUGGUGUAGGGGUAAAGUCCGUAGAUAUCACUAGGAAUACCUAAAGCGAAGGCGAUCUCCUGGAACAUUACUGACGCUAAGGCGUGAAAGCGUGGGGAGCAAACAGGAUUAGAUACCCUUGUAGUC
RNAcentral lists this ribosomal RNA (439 nucleotides) under uncultured bacterium. RNAcentral describes it as "partial 16S ribosomal RNA". It matches the Rfam family "Bacterial small subunit ribosomal RNA", at positions 339 to 795 of the family's 1533-position model. The record is from RNAcentral.